AUCUUUGGGGCGGGGCGAAAUUCCCCACCGGCAGUAUAGUCUGCGAGCCGAUUUUUCGGUUGACGGGGUGCGAUUCCCCGACCGACGGUAUAGUCCGGAUGUGAAAAGAUA
RNAcentral lists this non-coding RNA (111 nucleotides) under bovine gut metagenome. RNAcentral's name for it is "FMN riboswitch (RFN element)". It matches the Rfam family "FMN riboswitch aptamer (RFN element)". Rfam says of the family: The RFN element is a highly conserved domain that is found frequently in the 5'-untranslated regions of prokaryotic mRNAs that encode for flavin mononucleotide (FMN) biosynthesis and transport proteins. This element is a metabolite-dependent riboswitch that directly binds FMN in the absence of proteins. In Bacillus subtilis, the riboswitch most likely controls gene expression by causing premature transcription termination within the 5' untranslated region of the ribDEAHT operon and precluding access to the ribosome-binding site of ypaA mRNA. The record is from RNAcentral.